GACGGGAAGUUGCGGCUGCCAGCGAAGCGGACCGGCCGGGUGGAGGCCACACGCUACCCCGAGGCUGCGUAGGCCGCGCGAAGGGGGACGCCGUGCCGUGGGCCUGGGGUCGGGGGAGCCGCAGACCGGGAAGCACCGAUUUGGGGUGGAAGGCAGGCAUGGUCAAACCCAUUUCACUGACAGGAGAGCAGAGACAGGACGUGUCUCUCUCCACGUCUUCCAGCCAGUAAAAGAAGCCAAGCUGGAGCCCAAAGCCAGGUGUUCUGACUCCCAGCGUGGGGGUCCCUGCACCAACCAUGAGCCGCCUGCUCUGGAGGAAGGUGGCCGGCGCCACCGUCGGGCCAGGGCCGGUUCCAGCUCCGGGGCGCUGGGUCUCCAGCUCCGUCCCCGCGUCCGACCCCAGCGACGGGCAGCGGCGGCGGCAGCAGCAGCAGCAACAGCAGCCUCAGCAGCCUCAGCAGCCGCAAGUGCUAUCCUCGGAGGGCGGGCAGCCGCGGCACAACCCAUUGGACAUCCAGAUGCUCUCGAGAGGGCUGCACGAGCAAAUCUUCGGGCAAGGAGGGGAGAUGCCUGGCGAGGCCGCGGUGCGCCGCAGCGUCGAGCACCUGCAGAAGCACGGGCUCUGGGGGCAGCCAGCCGUGCCCUUGCCCGACGUGGAGCUGCGCCUGCCGCCCCUCUACGGGGACAACCUGGACCAGCACUUCCGCCUCCUGGCCCAGAAGCAGAGCCUGCCCUACCUGGAGGCGGCCAACUUGCUGUUGCAGGCCCAGCUGCCCCCGAAGCCCCCGGCUUGGGCCUGGGCGGAGGGCUGGACCCGGUACGGCCCCGAGGGGGAGGCCGUACCCGUGGCCAUCCCCGAGGAGCGGGCCCUGGUGUUCGACGUGGAGGUCUGCUUGGCAGAGGGAACUUGCCCCACAUUGGCGGUGGCCAUAUCCCCCUCGGCCUGGUAUUCCUGGUGCAGCCAGCGGCUGGUGGAAGAGCGUUACUCUUGGACCAGCCAGCUGUCGCCGGCUGACCUCAUCCCCCUGGAGGUCCCUGCUAGUGCCAGCAGCCCCACCCAGAGAGACUGGCAGGAGCAGUUAGUGGUGGGGCACAAUGUUUCCUUUGACCGAGCUCAUAUCAGGGAGCAGUACCUGAUCCAGGGUUCCCGCAUGCGUUUCCUGGACACCAUGAGCAUGCACAUGGCCAUCUCAGGGCUAAGCAGCUUCCAGCGCAGUCUGUGGAUAGCAGCCAAGCAGGGCAAGCACAAGGUCCAGCCCCCCACAAAGCAAGGCCAGAAGUCCCAGAGGAAAGCCAGAAGAGGCCCAGCGAUCUCAUCCUGGGACUGGCUGGACAUCAGCAGUGUCAACAGUCUGGCAGAGGUGCACAGACUUUAUGUAGGGGGGCCUCCCUUAGAGAAGGAGCCUCGAGAACUGUUUGUGAAGGGCACCAUGAAGGACAUUCGUGAGAACUUCCAGGACCUGAUGCAGUACUGUGCCCAGGACGUGUGGGCCACCCAUGAGGUUUUCCAGCAGCAGCUACCGCUCUUCUUGGAGAGGUGUCCCCACCCAGUGACUCUGGCCGGCAUGCUGGAGAUGGGUGUCUCCUACCUGCCUGUCAACCAGAACUGGGAGCGUUACCUGGCAGAGGCACAGGGCACUUAUGAGGAGCUCCAGCGGGAGAUGAAGAAGUCGUUGAUGGAUCUGGCCAAUGAUGCCUGCCAGCUGCUCUCAGGAGAGAGGUACAAAGACGACCCCUGGCUCUGGGACCUGGAGUGGGACCUGCAAGAAUUUAAGCAGAAGAAAGCUAGGAAGGUGAAGAAGGAACCAGCCACAGCCAGCAAGUUGCCCAUCGAGGGGGCUGGGGCCCCUGGUGAUCCCAUGGAUCAGGAAGACCUCGGCCCCUGCAGUGAGGAGGAGGAGUUUCAACAAGAUGUCAUGGCCCGCGCCUGCUUGCAGAAGCUGAAGGGGACCACAGAGCUCCUGCCCAAGCGGCCCCAGCACCUUCCUGGACAUCCUGGAUGGUACCGGAAGCUCUGCCCCCGGCUAGACGACCCUGCAUGGACCCCGGGCCCCAGCCUCCUCAGCCUGCAGAUGCGGGUCACACCUAAACUCAUGGCACUGACCUGGGAUGGCUUCCCUCUGCACUACUCAGAGCGUCAUGGCUGGGGCUACCUGGUGCCUGGGCGGCGGGACAACCUGGCCAAGCUGCCGACAGGUACCACCCUGGAGUCAGCUGGGGUGGUCUGCCCCUACAGAGCCAUCGAGUCCCUGUACAGGAAGCACUGUCUCGAACAGGGGAAGCAGCAGCUGAUGCCCCAGGAGGCCGGCCUGGCCGAGGAGUUCCUGCUCACUGACAAUAGUGCCAUAUGGCAAACGGUAGAAGAACUGGAUUACUUAGAAGUGGAGGCUGAGGCCAAGAUGGAGAACUUGCGAGCUGCAGUGCCAGGUCAACCCCUAGCUCUGACUGCCCGUGGUGGCCCCAAGGACACCCAGCCCAGCUAUCACCAUGGCAAUGGACCUUACAACGACGUGGACAUCCCUGGCUGCUGGUUUUUCAAGCUGCCUCACAAGGAUGGUAAUAGCUGUAAUGUGGGAAGCCCCUUUGCCAAGGACUUCCUGCCCAAGAUGGAGGAUGGCACCCUGCAGGCUGGCCCAGGAGGUGCCAGUGGGCCCCGUGCUCUGGAAAUCAACAAAAUGAUUUCUUUCUGGAGGAACGCCCAUAAACGUAUCAGCUCUCAGAUGGUGGUGUGGCUGCCCAGGUCAGCUCUGCCCCGUGCUGUGAUCAGGCACCCCGACUAUGAUGAGGAAGGCCUCUAUGGGGCCAUCCUGCCCCAAGUGGUGACUGCCGGCACCAUUACUCGCCGGGCUGUGGAGCCCACAUGGCUCACCGCCAGCAAUGCCCGGCCUGACCGAGUAGGCAGUGAGUUGAAAGCCAUGGUGCAGGCCCCACCUGGCUACACCCUUGUGGGUGCUGAUGUGGACUCCCAAGAGCUGUGGAUUGCAGCUGUGCUUGGAGACGCCCACUUUGCCGGCAUGCAUGGCUGCACAGCCUUUGGGUGGAUGACACUGCAGGGCAGGAAGAGCAGGGGCACUGAUCUACACAGUAAGACAGCCACUACUGUGGGCAUCAGCCGUGAGCAUGCCAAAAUCUUCAACUACGGCCGCAUCUAUGGUGCUGGGCAGCCCUUUGCUGAGCGCUUACUAAUGCAGUUUAACCACCGGCUCACACAGCAGGAGGCAGCUGAGAAGGCCCAGCAGAUGUACGCUGCCACCAAGGGCCUCCGCUGGCACUAGCGUGGCACAGGAAGCACUCCCGUGGAAUGAUGGUGAUAACACUGCCCCCAGGUAUCGGCUGUCGGAUGAGGGCGAGUGGCUGGUGAGGGAGUUGAACCUCCCAGUGGACAGGACUGAGGGUGGCUGGAUUUCCCUGCAGGAUCUGCGCAAGGUCCAGAGAGAAACUGCCAGGAAGUCACAGUGGAAGAAGUGGGAGGUGGUUGCUGAACGGGCAUGGAAGGGGGGCACAGAGUCAGAAAUGUUCAAUAAGCUUGAGAGCAUUGCCACGUCUGACAUACCACGUACCCCGGUGCUGGGCUGCUGCAUCAGCCGAGCCCUGGAGCCCUCGGCUGUCCAGGAAGAGUUUAUGACCAGCCGUGUGAAUUGGGUGGUACAGAGCUCUGCUGUUGACUACUUACACCUCAUGCUUGUGGCCAUGAAGUGGCUGUUUGAAGAGUUUGCCAUAGAUGGGCGCUUCUGCAUCAGCAUCCAUGACGAGGUUCGCUACCUGGUGCGGGAGGAGGACCGCUACCGCGCUGCCCUGGCCUUGCAGAUCACCAACCUCUUGACCAGUAAAAUUCCUAGUUCAUAUGGAUGAAUUAAAUAUUACCGUUCCAUGUUGAUCUGCCACUCAGAACCAGUUUGGGAACCAUGAUCUAUCCUGAUUAUUGGGUGCAUGUUUGCCUACAAGCUGGGUCUGAAUGACUUGCCCCAGUCAGUCGCCUUUUUCAGUGCAGUCGAUAUUGACCGGUGCCUCAGGAAGGAAGUGACCAUGGAUUGUAAAACCCCUUCCAACCCAACUGGGAUGGAAAGGAGAUACGGGAUUCCCCAGGGUGAAGCGCUGGAUAUUUACCAGAUAAUUGAACUCACCAAAGGCUCCUUGGAAAAACGAAGCCAGCCUGGACCAUAGCACUGCCUGGAGGCUCUGUAUUUGCUCCCGUGGAGCUUCAUCAGGGUGGUGCAGGCUCCCAAA
Pan troglodytes (chimpanzee) is the source of this 4227-nucleotide RNA transcript. It is a transcript of the gene named DNA polymerase gamma, catalytic subunit, with no coding region annotated. The transcript has 24 exons. Lineage: Eukaryota; Metazoa; Chordata; Mammalia; Primates; Hominidae. The record is from RefSeq and is a predicted model, not a curated record.